RNAcentral lists this ribosomal RNA (253 nucleotides) under uncultured bacterium. RNAcentral's name for it is "partial 16S ribosomal RNA". It matches the Rfam family "Bacterial small subunit ribosomal RNA", at positions 524 to 776 of the family's 1533-position model. The record is from RNAcentral.
UACGUAGGGUGCAAGCGUUGUCCGGAAUUAUUGGGCGUAAAGAGCUCGUAGGCGGUCUGUCGCGUCGGCUGUGAAAUCCCGGAGCUCAACUCCGGGCCUGCAGUCGAUACGGGCAGACUGAAGUUCGGCAGGGGAGACUGGAAUUCCUGGUGUAGCGGUGAAAUGCGCAGAUAUCAGGAGGAACACCGGUGGCGAAGGCGGGUCUCUGGGCCGAUACUGACGCUGAGGUACGAAAGCGUGGGGAGCAAACGGG